UAUAUUUAGUGGCGAACGGGUGAGUAAUGCCUAGGAAUCUGCCCAUUAGCGGGGGAUAACGUGUGGAAACGCACGCUAAUACCGCAUACGCCCUACGGGGGAAAGCAGGGGAUCUUCGGACCUUGCACUAAUGGAUGAGCCUAGGUCGGAUUAGCUAGUUGGUAGGGUAAAGGCCUACCAAGGCUACGAUCUGUAGCGGGUCUGAGAGGAUGAUCCGCCACACUGGAACUGAGACACGGUCCAGACUCCUACGGGAGGCAGCAGUGGGGAAUAUUGGACAAUGGGGGCAACCCUGAUCCAGCCAUGCCGCGUGUGUGAAGAAGGCCUUUUGGUUGUAAAGCACUUUAAGCGAGGAGGAGGGUACUCUGGUUAAUACCUAGAUUAAUACUCUAGGAUAGUGGACGUUACUCGCAGAAUAAGCACCGGCUAACUCUGUGCCAGCAGCCGCGGUAAUACAGAGGGUGCGAGCGUUAAUCGGAUUUACUGGGCGUAAAGCGUGCGUAGGUGGCUAAUUAAGUCAAAUGUGAAAUCCCCGAGCUUAACUUGGGA
RNAcentral lists this ribosomal RNA (549 nucleotides) under uncultured Moraxellaceae bacterium. RNAcentral describes it as "bacterial SSU rRNA". It matches the Rfam family "Bacterial small subunit ribosomal RNA", at positions 87 to 619 of the family's 1533-position model. Lineage: Bacteria; Pseudomonadati; Pseudomonadota; Gammaproteobacteria; Moraxellales; Moraxellaceae. The record is from RNAcentral.